GAUGAACGCUAGCGGCAGGCCUAACACAUGCAAGUCGAGGGAGAAGCCCUUUCGGGGGCAGAAACCGGCGCACGGGUGCGUAACGCGUAUGCAACCUACCUUUCACAGGGGGAUAGCCCGAAGAAAUUUGGAUUAAUACCCCAUAAUAUUGUUGGAUGGCAUCAUUUGGCAAUUAAAACUGCGGUGGUGAAAGAUGGGCAUGCGUCCUAUUAGCUAGUUGGAGUGGUAACGGCACCCCAAGGCUACGAUAGGUAGGGGUCCUGAGAGGGAGAUCCCCCACACCGGUACUGAGACAGGGACCAGACUCCUACGGGAGGCAGCAGUGAGGAAUAUUGGUCAAUGGUCGGAAGACUGAACCAGCCAUGCCGCGUGCAGGAAGAAUGCCUUAUGGGUUGUAAACUGCUUUUAUAUGGGAAGAAUAAGGCGUACGUGUACGUUGAUGACGGUACCAUAUGAAUAAGCAUCGGCUAACUCCGUG
This 478-nucleotide ribosomal RNA is filed under the name uncultured bacterium. Its description in RNAcentral is "partial 16S ribosomal RNA". It matches the Rfam family "Bacterial small subunit ribosomal RNA", at positions 28 to 507 of the family's 1533-position model. The record is from RNAcentral.